Delphinapterus leucas (beluga whale) is the source of this 18531-nucleotide non-coding RNA. NCBI's taxonomy places the organism in Eukaryota, Metazoa, Chordata, Mammalia, Artiodactyla, Monodontidae. The record is from RefSeq and is a predicted model, not a curated record.
CGUAGCCCCCUCCCGCCCGGUCAGCCCCGAAGAGUUGCCCGGUGGCCGCGGCAGACGGAAGCCGAGCGAGAACCUCGGCGGCGGCAGGAUGGGGGACUCCAAAGUGAAAGUGGCCGUCCGGAUCCGGCCCAUGAACCGAAGAGAAAUUGACUUGCAUACCAAAUGUGUGGUGGAUGUAGAUGCAAACAAGGUUAUUCUCAAUCCUGUAAAUACCAAUCUUUCCAAAGGAGAUGCCCGAAGCCAGCCAAAGGUAUUUGCAUAUGAUCAUUGUUUCUGGUCUAUGGAUGAAUCUGUCAGAGAAAAGUAUGCAGGUCAAGAUGAUGUUUUCAAGUGCCUUGGGGAGAAUAUCCUUCAGAAUGCUUUUGAUGGCUACAAUGCAUGUAUCUUUGCCUAUGGACAGACUGGAUCUGGAAAAUCUUACACCAUGAUGGGCACAGCUGACCAACCUGGAUUAAUCCCAAGACUUUGCAGUGGACUCUUUGAACGAACCCAGAAAGAGGAAAACGAAGAGCAGAGUUUUAAAGUAGAAGUGUCCUAUAUGGAAAUUUACAAUGAAAAAGUUAGAGACCUUCUUGAUCCCAAAGGAAGCCGUCAAACGUUAAGAGUCAGAGAGCACAGUGUGUUGGGACCCUAUGUCGAUGGACUUUCUAAACUGGCUGUCACAGGCUACAAGGAUAUUGAAUCUUUGAUGUCUGAAGGUAACAAAUCUCGUACAGUUGCUGCAACCAACAUGAAUGAGGAGAGCAGCCGAUCACAUGCAGUCUUCAAAAUCACCCUCACACACACUUUAUAUGAUGUGAAGUCUGGGACAUCUGGAGAGAAAGUGGGCAAGCUGAGCUUGGUUGAUUUAGCCGGCAGCGAGCGAGCGACGAAAACGGGAGCGGCAGGUGACAGGCUGAAGGAGGGCAGCAACAUCAACAAGUCCCUCACAACCCUCGGUCUGGUUAUCUCAGCCCUAGCAGAUCAGGGUGCUGGCAAAAACAAGAAUAAAUUUGUUCCAUAUCGUGACUCAGUUCUCACUUGGCUGCUCAAAGACAGUCUUGGGGGUAACAGCAAGACAGCCAUGGUAGCUACUGUGAGUCCGGCCGCUGACAACUAUGACGAAACCCUUUCAACCCUGCGGUAUGCAGAUCGUGCCAAGAACAUCGUGAACCACGCUGUGGUGAAUGAGGAUCCCAAUGCACGGAUUAUCCGGGACCUCCGAGAAGAAGUAGAAAAACUCCGAGAGCAGCUAACCAAAGCAGAGGCAAUGAAAUCUCCAGAGCUGAAAGACCGGCUGGAAGAAUCAGAGAAGCUAAUCCAGGAAAUGACUGUGACCUGGGAGGAGAAAUUAAGGAAAACCGAGGAGAUUGCCCAGGAGCGGCAGAAACAGCUUGAGAGUCUUGGAAUAUCUCUUCAAUCUUCUGGAAUUAAAGUUGGGGAUGAUAAAUGUUUCCUCGUUAAUCUCAACGCUGAUCCUGCUCUGAAUGAACUUCUGGUUUACUACUUAAAGGAACAUACACUGAUAGGUUCAGCAAAUUCCCAAGAUAUCCAACUAUGUGGAAUGGGAAUUCUUCCUGAACAUUGUAUCAUAGACAUCACAUCAGAAGGCCAGGUUAUGCUGACUCCUCAAAAGAACACCAGAACAUUUGUAAAUGGCUCCUCUGUAUCCAGUCCUAUUCAGCUACACCAUGGGGACAGGAUAUUAUGGGGGAACAACCACUUCUUCAGACUUAAUUUGCCUAAAAAGAAAAAGAAAGCAGGUGGAGAAGAUGAGGAACAAGACACGUCCAUGAAGAAUGACACCAGUUCUGAGCAGCUGGAUGUGGAUGGAGACUCAUCCAGUGAGGUGUCCAGCGAAAUCAACUUCAAUUACGAGUACGCGCAGAUGGAGGUAACCAUGAAGGCUCUGGGCAGUAACGAUCCCAUGCAGUCAAUACUGAACAGCCUAGAACAACAGCACGAAGAGGAGAAACGGUCUGCAUUGGAGCGCCAGAGGCUCAUGUACGAACAUGAACUGGAGCAGCUCCGGAGACGGCUGUCUCCUGAGAAACAGAACUGCCGUAGUUCGGACAAGUUUUCCUUCCACUCACCCAGCGCUCAGCAGCGAUUGAGGCAGUGGGCGGAAGAGAGAGAAGCAACACUGAAUAACAGCCUGAUGAGGCUGAGGGAACAAAUCGUUAAGGCCAAUCUGUUGGUGAGAGAAGCUAGUUACAUUGCGGAAGAACUGGAUAAACGGACAGAGUAUAAAGUAACCCUACAGAUUCCAGCUUCCAGCCUCGAUGCCAACAGGAAGCGAGGCUCUCUCCUUAGUGAACCUGCCAUCCAGGUGAGAAGAAAAGGAAAAGGGAAGCAGAUUUGGUCUUUGGAAAAACUGGACAACAGGUUAUUGGAUAUGAGAGAUCUUUAUCAGGAGUGGAAGGAGUGUGAAGAAGAUACCCCAGUGAUACGGUCUUACUUCAAGCGUGCAGAUCCGUUCUAUGAUGAGCAGGAAAAUCACAGUCUCAUUGGGAUGGCUAAUGUCUUCCUUGAGUCCCUCUUCUAUGAUGUGAAGUUACAAUAUGCUGUUCCAAUCAUCAACCAGAAAGGAGAGGUGGCAGGCCGGCUGCACGUAGAGGUGAUGCGCAUUAGUGGUGACAUCGGGGAGAGAAUUGCGGGGGGUGAUGAUGCUGCAGAUGCGUCCUUUGAUAAGGAGACCCAGGAGAACAAACUCGUGUGCAUGGUUAAAAUACUUCAAGCCACCGGCUUGCCACAGCAUCUGUCCCACUUUGUAUUCUGCAAAUACAACUUCUGGGAUCAACAGGAGCCGGUAAUUGUUGCACCCGAGGUGGAUACCUCAUCCUCUCCUGUCAGCAAGGAACCUCAGUGCAUGGUUGUCUUUGAUCAAUGCAAUGAAUUUUCUGUUGGCAUCACUGAAGACUUUAUCGAACAUCUUUCAGAAGGGGCUUUGGCAAUUGAAGUCUAUGGCCAUAAGAUGAAUGAUCCUCGGAAAAACCCAACCCUGUGGGAUUUGGGGAUUAUCCAAGCAAAAACACGCAGCCUUCGGGACAGAUGGAGCGAAGUCACCAGGAAAGUGGAAUUCUGGGUUCAAAUCUUGGAACAGAAUGAGAAUGGUGAAUACUGCCCUGUAGAGGUAAUUCCUGCAAAGGACGUGCCAACAGGUGGAAUCUUCCAACUCCGGCAGGGGCAGUCCCGGCGAGUCCAAGUGGAAGUGAAGUCUGUGCAGGAGUCUGGGACUUUACCGCUGAUGGAAGAAUGUAUAUUGUCUGUUGGCAUUGGAUGUGUAAAAGUCAGGGCGCCGAGAUCGGCCAAGACGCAUGAAACCAUCCAUGAGGAAGAGGAGGACAUGGACAGUUACCAGGAUCGGGAUUUAGAGAGACUACGUAGAAAAUGGCUAAAUGUGUUAACAAAGCGUCAGGAGUACUUAGAUCAACAACUGCAAAAGCUUGUCAGUAAACAUGAUAAAACAGAGGAUGAUGCUGACCGUGAAGCUCAACUACUAGAGAUGAGGUUGACUCUGACUGAGGAGAGGAACGCAGUCAUGGUUCCCUCAGCUGGCAGUGGGAUCCCAGGGGCCCCGGCAGAAUGGACGCCGGUUCCUGGGAUGGAAACACACAUUCCCGUUAUAUUCCUUGACUUAAAUGCUGAUGAUUUCAGCUCUCAGGAUAAUCUUGAUGACCCAGAAGCUGGUGGAUGGGAUGCUACCCUGACUGGAGAAGAAGAGGACGAGUUCUUUGAACUGCAGAUUGUCAAACAGCAUGAUGGAGAGGUGAAAGCGGAAGCCUCCUGGGACUCCGCAGUGCACAACUGCCCUCAGCUGAGUAAAGGCACGCCCGCGGAUGAGCGAGUGUUUCUCAUCGUGCGGGUGACGGUCCAGCUCAGCCAUCCAGCCGACAUGCAGUUGGUAUUACGCAAGCGCCUUUGUGUCAGUGUUCACGGCCGGCAGGGUUUUGCUCAGAGUCUCCUAAAAAAGAUGUCACAUCGAAGUUCUAUUCCAGGCUGUGGAGUGACCUUUGAAAUUGUCUCCAAUAUUCCAGAGGAUGCCCAGGGAGUAGAGGAACGAGAAGCAUUAGCAAGAAUGGCAGCUAAUGUUGAAAACACGGCUUCUGCUGACUCGGAGGCAUAUAUUGAGAAAUACCUCAGGAGCGUGCUGGCAGUGGAGAACCUUCUCACGUUAGAUCGACUUCGCCAGGAAGUUGCAGUGAAGGAACAGUUGACAGGAAAAGGGAAGCUGAAUAGGAGGAGUAUUAGCUCUCCAAAUGUGAACAGACUGUCUGGCAGCCGACAGGAUCUUAUUCCAUCCUACAGUCUAGGUAGCAACAAGGGCCGGUGGGAAAGUCAACAGGAUGUAUCGCAAACUGCCGUUUCUAGAGCAACCACUCCGGCUGCCCCAUCUCCCCCUGGUUGUCCCCAAAAUAACCAUUCUCCUGACCCAGGACUCAGUAACCUAGCAGCCUCCUACUUGAGUCCAGUAAGAUCUUUCGUGCCGCAGAUGCCGAAGCUGCUAAAGUCGCUCUUCCCCGUCCGCGACGAGAAAAGGGGCAAACAGCCAUCUCCCCUCACACAUCAGCCCGUGCCUCGAAUCAUGGUGCAGUCAGCCCUCCCAGAUGCCGGCAUGCCCAGGAUGGUGGAGGCUCAGCGAGAGAGCGCGGGGCUGCGCGUGGCCUCCGACGUGCCCGUGGCCUUGCCGGCCGCCCCCUCGCCCAAGACCUACGACGGGCCCCCGAGACCCGCGCCCACCUCCCCGGCCCCCGAGGGCGCGGAUGGGCCGCCCAGCCCCCUGAGCGAGGCGUCCAGCGGCUACUUCUCGCACAGUGUCUCCACUGCCACCCUGUCGGACGCCUGCGGCCCCGGCCUGGAUACCGUGGCAUUGCCCUCUCCUGGCCCCGGCCCGGCCACCCCCGAACCCGAGCCCCCGGCCGCGCCCGUCAUGUCCCGCGCCCCUCCCGGCCCGGCGGAGCGAAUGGCGCAGGGAGACGGCGCGGCCGCGGCCCCUGUCGGGGCUGCAGCGGUGAAGCGGGACGAAGCGGCAGGUCCCCCCGCGCCUGACCGGCGGGGCAGGAGUGACCCUGCCGCCGCCCCCCAGAAGGCGGAGAGCCCCCAGCCCCAGGCGAAGCCGGCCGCUGGCCCAGGGCCCGACGUCUCCAGGCCGCCGGCACCUGCUGACCCUCGGUGCCAGCCGCCCGCUCCGGCCCCUCCCUUCAGGAUCCAGAAGGUGCGGACCUCGGAGCUGAAGUCAUUCACACGCAUGCUUGGCGGGGACCCCGGCGGCCCCUCGGGGAGCGAGGAGGAUCCGCUGGCCUCAGGGGGCCCGGGCGACGGCAGCGCCGGGGCAGAGGCCCCGGGAAAGCUGGAAGUCUCCUCGGAUUCUGAAGAAGCCAGUGAGGUCCCAGAGUGGCUCAGAGAGGGAGAAUAUGUGACCGUGGGCACCACCAAGACGGGCAUCGUGAGAUACGUGGGGCCCACUGACUUCCAGGAGGGCACGUGGGUCGGAGUGGAGCUAGACUUACCUUCAGGUAAGAACGAUGGCUCCAUCGGCGGGAAGCAGUACUUCAAGUGCAACCCCGGCUACGGGCUGCUGGUAAUCGGAGCUUCUGGGCUACCUAGCCGGGAGACCGCUUCUCUGGAACAGGGGUGUCCCAGCUCUCACGCCUCAGCUCCACUGUCCACCUCGACCUGCACGCUGGGCCCCCUGUCAGACGCCGCAGCUGGGGAACAGAGGACUUCUUUCCACUGCUGCAUGGGUGAGUGGACCUCGAAGGUUCUGCAACGAGAUGUUUGGGGGAGGAGGAUUAUGGCUGUGCACACCGGCGGUCCAGUCCCCGCAGGCUGUGAAGCCCGAUAGCAUUUGUUGGGCCCUGCUUGCCCCUGAGGCCAACAUCCUGAGUACGUGGCACCCAGCUGUAGCCCAGCGUGGGCUUGAACCAGUGCCGGGGAGAGAAGCAGCCCUCCCGAGAUGGCCUGCACCGUCCUGCUCACGGUCCAGGAGUCCAGCCCACAGCCGCGAGGACGCAGUCGGCCCAGUGCGCUGGUGGCCCUGCAUCGGUGAAUCACUCCGCCUGCGCCUGCUAUAAAAGUUUAAUAGCUUCAGUGAAUGAUGAAGUGGAAGGAUAAGCGUCACAACUUCAUGCUGGGCUCUUAGUUCCAGUAAAGCAAAAGGAGAGGUUUCCGUGUUCAAAGGAAGCCAGAAAUCAGACUGAGAUUAGACCUGACCUGGAGGGAGUGGGAAGUUACGGAGAGAACAGGUGUCCUGGGACCAGCUCUGCGUGCACACUGGCUGGUGAGUCACGUGCGCCUUCCCCGGGAAGAGCCCACACCUCCCUUCUGAAGUUUCAGUGCCCCCAGCUGCCACCAGAGAUUCCAAAUCGGGAUCAGCUCCUCAGUGGAAAGCACACGUGCCUUCUUCCCUUCCCUUUAAGGGUGGGUUUAUUUGGUGGGGUGAGCGGAGUGGAUAACCAAAACCCCCCACGAGCCGGCUAAUGAAACAAGGUGCCUAUUACAAGGGCCACCAAUCCCCAGUGGUCAACAUGGGGACCCUCUCCCAGGGCCACUCCCAGCGAGGCCUUGCUCCUGGGGCGGUUCCCGCUCUUGGGCUUCAAGGAUGCUUAGGGCACGACUAAGCGGUCGGAAGAGAGAGAAGCGACAGAGCCGGCCCCUGCAGAACCACCUAUUGAGAGGUAAAGAGCUGGAGAAUGGGAGGGAGGCGCAUGGAUUUUUAGUUAGCUGAGUCCUCAGGUCAGCUUAGAGCCCGUGUCCCUGACAACAGUCACUGAGCCGCCAUACCAACCCCAAGGCAGCUCGCCCCUGAGCUGGACUGUGGUUACCAGAAAGUUCUUACGCCGAGCCAGAGAGCCCACGGCGGGGCAGACACUGAUCCAACACUGGCAUUCCAGAGCCUCCAAUCUCCAAAGCACUGGCCCAGCCCCACCGCCUCUCGUGAUUGUGACGGAAGGGACAGUGGACUGAGUUGGAAUGGCUUAGCGAAACUUCCAAACACAGGCACUGAAAAAAUGCUCCAAGAGCUGAAUAGAGAGAGAACAGGAAGAGUGAGCUUUUAAUAUUCUCUGCUUCCGCUUAGUGCAACUACCCCCAAGCAAUGCUAGGAUAUUCGAGUUCCCCUCAGAACUCAGACUGUGACAGCCAAGAUCUUCUAUCCCAGCAAAAGGCAAGACCUUCCCAUUCACCUCCUAGAGGCAGAGAUGGGGACAGGGGACUUGAAACAAGAGGUUUUGCAUCACAGCUGCCAAGCCUCACUGAGUUUCUGUCACCAUGAAUAACAGGAGAAAGGCCAAGGAGGAAGGAUGCCCUGGUGUCUAGAUCAUCACAGUGACACUGGUCCAGUGUCGGCACAGAAAUGAUGGCGGGGCAACAGUGCACCAGGGGGGAAUCAUCCGGCAAUGCCCAAGAGAAAAAGGAACAGGUUAAGUACAGAGAUUUCACUCAGCAGGGCCAGGCAGACAUCCUGUUAAUGUUCUACCAGGAUGAGAAAAGUGACUGGAGAUUUUACUUGACUUCAUUUAGGGGGUACUGCUCAGUAUGGUCUGUGAAUCUUCAAGAAUCAAUGAGACAGUGAAAACACUCAGCACAGUGCUGGGCACACAGGACAAGCUAGCAAGUGUCAGCGGCUACUUCGAGCUUCGAAUGCUUGGGGGCUCAGGAAAAGCCUAUCUAACUCAAGUGUAAGCUCCUGUUUGAAAAACACUUCCUGAUGGUGACGGCAAUGGAAAUAUCAAGCGACCAAGGGAAAAUGUGAAUUCUAGGGAGCUCGUGAAGCAGGAAACAUCAGGUAAGGCCCACACACGACCCUGGCUGGUUGGCAUGUGGGACAGAGUCCUCUGGGGGCCUCAUCAGUGGGUGACUCAGUUUGGGGUUCUGACUGUAGUUUCUGCCAUAGAUGGAGCAGGUUGAAACUGGAUGUGAGCGACAGGUUUCAUGUGACUUAGUCUAAUGGGGAGCAGUAAUCAAAGGCUUCCAUUCUGAAGCUGAAAUAACUCCAAAUCCUUCUCUUUCACUUAGGAGAGGACGCGAACACUAUGUCAUUAUUUUAGUUUACUGAGUUGCUGUUCCAAAUGUUCUCGGGAGCAUUAGUGCUAAAAGGGAACAGGGAAUGGGAGAGCUGCCAUUUUCAAUCACAUAAAGGACGGAAAUCCUUUUAAUUAUGACCAUGCCAAUCUACAUCUUGCUGUUAAAACAGCUAAUUACAUGUCAGGAGGACACUCAGUCAUUCAGAACAAUUGUCGUUAUAUUUUUAUAUAUUCAUUCUGUGCCACCCCCCUCAAUCGCCAUGGUUACAAUUUGAAAGGAUUCAGGCAAACCUUCAUUUGCUCACAGCACACCAACGUGAAUCUGAGAGUUAAUUAUGGCUGUAUAGAGCCAUUUUUAUUUGAGAGAGACAGAGAAUGAAAAUGGAGUCACGGGGGCCGGCGUCCCGAGGUGGUGUGAAGCGCCCGUGGAGCCGUGCACACUCGCCCGCGCCCAGGCCGGCUCACACGCCACUGCUGCCCCCGCACCCACCGGAGGGCACAGCGCUGCCGUCCGGACGGGGGCAAGAUGGCUCCGUAACUGCCCAGGAAAAGGGAUGUCAGGAGGGAAGCGCAAAGGCCCCCCGCAGAGGCGUCCUUCCGCUUGUUGUGCGGGAGCUGCGGCUAAUGAGAGAACGGGUGUGAGACGUGUGUGGGAAACUGCAGGGUGUAAAAAUGCUAGUUAGUUAGAUUUUGCUUGAAUGGAAUGAACCAGAUUUAGUUCUGCUCACUGCCUGGCCCCAGGUGUCACAGGAGGAAUGACAAAAAUGAAGCCCAGGAUAGGCGUACCUGGAAUCCCAAGGCGCCUACCACGUCCUCGAGGUCUUCGGGUGACAAUAAGAAGGGGAUGCAAGAUCCCCGCGUGCAGCCAGAUUUUCCCUCCCCUCCCUCCCAUGUUUAUUCCCCUCUUGAUUUGAAAAGAAAACCAUUGUUACAGGAAACUAGAUUUCUCAAGAUCGUUAGCUUUCCUUUUGCUGCUGUUUCUCAUCCCCACUAAGGAAGAAUAAUGAAGCUGGUAUGGAAACUUCUCAAUUUAUAAGCUUCCAGCGAUUAGUGAGUCAACCAUCGACCCUCUAAGACGGCAAGAGUAGUAGCUUAUCACUUUUAGCCUGUGAGAAUUAAGACCAGCCUUUUGUAUAACCUGUCUGUGAGAGGGGUUUCUGUGACUGGAAAUGGACUUAUGGGCUUGAUGUGUUUAAAAAGCCUUUCCCACCACGUUAGUGCGGCAGUUCUCUUGAGAGCAGUAAGGAAAUCUUUCCUCUUAAGUGAUUAUCAUCUUUUGAAAAGAAGACCCUAUCAUGAAGGCAACCAAAGUACAGAAAAAGAAAGGGCCCCUGCUUUGACAGCACACCACCGUUAGGGCAAUCCUUCCAGGAUAACCUGGGCAUUCACGGUUGCCUCCCGGGGAAAACCUCCCAUUCUCAUUAUGGUGCGAUACCUUUAAACUGGGUAAUUUAGGUAUUACCAGGUAAUGGCAACCAGACAAUAUGGAGAUUAAGAAACAGAAGAGGGUUUCCAGGGCAUGCAGCUCAGUCUGCCAAAUUCAAUAUGGCUAACAACUGAUCCCCCAAUCCUGAGUAAACAUCCUCGUUAUUUAGAGAGCACACAGAAAGGAAUGUCUUACGCAGCUCCUAGCCCUGCCCCGCUGCACCCCCCCACCCCACCCCUGUGCCCCGCAGAGAUACCACCAGCGGGAGCUGGUCAAUGUGCCCAACGUUCACUUGGGAAAUCUUGACAAACAAACGCGGCUCAGUAAAGCUAUAAAUGGAUUUGGCUGGUCUCAACGCAGCCCCAGUGAAUACACUAGUAAAACAUUACUAAUAAUCACAACAACAAAAUGACAAACUCUAUCACCACUCUGACGUAAGAUUUAAAUCACACACGGUGAUUAACACAGAAAACCAACGCACGAGUAGAGGGUCAGGACUAUUGAAUGUAGAGAGCUACUGCGCACAAGGUCAUCAAUAAGAAGAAAAAUUAUUGCCUAAGAAUCUGUUGAGACUCAUUGGGGAAAAAAAUACUCUGGUGGUUCUCUGAACAACAACAGAAAGAGAUAAACAGCAAUUUUAAAAGGCAGAGCCACGAGUUAAAUGGGAAGACUGCUUCUACCCAAACCCUUCUUAAGACCAAAGAGAGAGAAGGACUUGACGUUCACAUUUUAAGGACGGGGGUGGGGUAUCAUUUAUGAAAAAGGGAUUAUUUCCACUGUUGUGGGCAGAGAGAGUAGCUGGUCAGCGGAAUAUGUAGCUGGUCAAAAAGCUGGCCUGCAAGACAGGAAGGGGUGUUUGUGUGAAGAGAUGGACCACACCCACCUAACUCUGCCUACUGCAGAGGAUAAAAAAAUUCCAGCAAGGAGUCAGCUCAAGAUGAGACCUUGGUUUGGAGCCCAGAGGAAAAGAGAAGAGGAGUUGUUCACAGACAGACAGGAUGUGACUGUAGAUUCCUGAUGAAAUGAAAGUCUAUUUACUUACACUUGGUGCCUGAUGGUUGAAAUCCAAGAGGGAAGUGUGUAAAGACAGAGGCCAAACAGGGAGAACGAAAGCAGCUGUAUCACUAGCUCUUCACGAGUCGUCCCUUUUGAGGUAAAGGUGCUGUUCGUCAGCAACUACUGCCAUGAUAAACCUACAGGACGCGGGGGCUGGGUUUGCAUCCUCCCAUACUGAGGGGCUGCUCCCUCCCUCACGUCCUUUUAGGUGAUCACCGCGCCUGAGCUGAAAGGGGUCUUCCUGUUCGAGGAUCUCUCUUUCUGUGAAGGACUGCGAGACGUGGGGGAGAGCCCACCCACCGAACGACAACAUGUGGGAACUCUACAGACUCUGCAGGCGGGAGGAGGCCACCCAAAGUACUGAGACUUGAAGAAAACUGCCUUAAGGGGUGCUCCGGCCUUACAGGCUUUGCUGAAACAAACCACAAUGUCUAUUUGGUACUGACGGGUCCUGGAAGAUCGCAGAUCAGAGUGUACCGUGUAGCCCUCCCUGGCCUUCACCUGCUGUUACGAUUCUCAAGAGAUGGGCAGAAAUGGCAUUAGGAUGGUCCAUCUUUAAAGGGUCCCUUUGUAAGGCUGUGUUUUAAGAAGGCUAGGAAAUUUACCCAUGUGACCAUAGUAUAAUUCAAUGAAAGUGUCUUAAAAGAAUAACAGACAAGUUACCUGAACUGCUUGCAAGGUUUCCCCACCUGACACGUUUAGUCUUCCUCACCUGGGAAGGAGCAGCCCCUGAAAGAGUCCUCGGGGGCCUGAAAAAAGUACAGCAGGAAGUGAGAAAAGAGGACAGAAAAACCGAAAAGCACACAAUGGGAUGCUUUAAGAGCCUGGCUAUUUUCCCUUCAGUAAGAGAGCAGUUUAGGGUUUCUAUUUUAAUACCACCUCUUAAGCCUGAAAAAGCUUAAGAAAAAAAUUUACUCCCCAAAGAUAUUACAGAUUAGACAGUGGCAACUCCAUAUGCCACUGUAAGAACUAAGGUAGCCCGGAGAAGACAGCAGAGUUAAACCUGAUGACAAACAAAAAACCAAUGGUAGAUUUAAAUCGAGGCCCCAAAGAACUAAAUUUUCACUUCUGGAGAAAAAGCAGAAGUUGUAUGUAAGGCAGUAGAUGUUAGAGCAGACUGGCAGUCUUCUUUAAUCAAAGAACUCCGCGUGCAGGGCUCCUUCCUCCAGUUCCUACUGAACCCAAGGCAAUGCUGCCCCGCACUGGCAGACACAUUCUUUCACUUUUCCCAGAUUUCCAGGUAAGCACCUGGUACUGCCUUCAUGGAUACUCUCCUUUACUCUUUGAAGCUUUCUUUCCUUCCUUAAAGGUCUUAAAUCAAUGAAACCUUUUAGCUCUUCUCUGGCAAUCACCCUGUUUCUUUAGAAACUGCGGGUGCCUUUAUAGUUUGAGUCUGUUUCUUUAAAAGGACCAGCAAGAACAAAUGAUACUAGCAAUCCCAUCUUAAAGAAGCUAUCAAUUAUAAUAAUCUCCUUACAAUAAAUCAUGGAUGUGGCUUGUCAGUAUAUUUUUCUCUCUCCUUUUCUUUCUGAUUCAACUGAAAAUAAGCAGACAAAAUUCCACCGAAAUGGAAAGAUAUGUUGUAUUUUUUCUAAAUAAUAUCAAAGGAAAGAAAGAUAACACAGUCUUCUAAUAGAAAUAAAAAGUCAAACACACCGAGAAAGAAAAUGAGUGGGGGGAUCGAUCAUUCCUGAGAAUAACAAAUGCUACUCUUGAAUUCGUUGGUUCAAGUAAUAUAGUUAAACAGAAAAGGCUACUCCAUUUUACUUCAAUUCUUGGAAGCUGGAAAAAAAUAUGUACAUUUUCCCCCUGAAAUCCAAGGACAAGAGCAGGCCCAGGCCCUGCCUGUAGCUCUAUAAAGUCACAGACCCACAGAAGGUGGCACCUUCAUGCCUCUCAAAGGCUUCCUCACACUGACAUGAGCAGGAUGAACAGACAGUGGAGGUGCUCUCACCAGCGUGUGCCUUAGGUGGAGUGAGACCAGCUAGAGCUGGCGGAUGUUCAAACUCACUGCUGAGGAAAGGAGAAAUGAAGGCGGCCAGUCGUUCUCUCUCUCAAUGGUUUUAAGUUGAAAACAUUUGGUGGGGGAGGAAGGGUGAAGAGGUAAGGAAAUGGCACCCUCCUUCAAUUUUAGAAUCACUUUCAGGCAAUGGAUAAACACAUGACGCCCUGCUUAGCAGCCAGGCCCAUAUUCCCCUUUAAACGAGGCUUCGUUGUCUGUAGGAAGGAGAGAGGGAACGAGGCAGGAAAUAGAGAGCAGCUGUGCCUCUUUCAGACGCACCCUCCGCUGCUACACUGAAGGCUGUCUCCUCUUACCCACAGUGACAGUGUGUCCUUUAAUCGGGAUGCCAAGAGAUUUUCAUACAAGGCCAGCAGAUGUGAUUUUUCUUGGACGCAUGAAUAGUUCAUCAUUUUGCUACUGGACGACAAGGUGAUCACAGGGUGACUUUAUAACUCAAGUUCACUGUUUGGUAUUUUGAGUUCUCAAAAUGAAAAAAAGAUUUAUCAAAUAUAAAUAUCUUUAAAAAGUAACAAAAGUGCUACAUAUGUGAUCAAGGAAAAAAAUUCCAUUAGUUACUGCCGCUUAAAGUAGAUUAAACUUUACAAAUAUUACCACAUCCAUUAUCAAUAUGGCUUCCAAUUAUUAAAUAAAUUGCCUGUAGCAAUAUAGCUUUUCACACCUCUACAAGGACACAGUAAAGAGAACACCAAAGCAGUCACAUCCUGUUGUAUCUCGCAGACCCACCACAUAAGUGGCAAACGUCCCCUGCUUCUUUUCUGCUCCUAGUUGGGAAAGUAUUUGCGUUUGUGAGAGUCAGUCAGCAUAAUCCCGCUAUAAAGUCCUCUAUCAACCUCUCAUGUUGAGGGGGCUUCAGUUAAUGGAUACAAAGACUGGAAGUUCAUUCACUUACUUUUGACCUUAGCUCCAUCCUCGAAAUGCCUUUUUUUGGUAGCAGGGAAAGGGGACACAGACAGGAGGCAAAGCAGCUUCCAUGACGACCUCCAGCACCUUUCCAGGCCGGCAUGUACCUGUGCCACGUACUGUAUAGUGGUUCUGAGAACUGGACCUAACAUCCAUUAGACCUUCAGCUCAUGUUUUUUCCCAGUGCUCUCAAGCUGGGCUUUGUUUUUUUUAAAUGACUUUUGUUUUUUGUCAUUUUUCUGUUUGUUUGUUUGUUUUAAUCAUGGUCCCAAAGGCAGAGGCAGUAUUUUAUCUACUUAAGUCACACAGCUUGUGAGAGGAAAGGAUGUCUGUGUCAGGCAUGUUAACAUCAACCAAAAUCUGAGAUCGAGUGUUUCCACUGACAUUCUUAGCACAGCACCCAAAGAAGUAUAAUCUAGCCACAGUGUGACUAUUAUGAGGCACGGCUUAUUGCAGCUGGAAAUCAAUUCUUCCCACACUGAGGUGGGGGUUCUAGUGUCCCUUUUACUCUGUGGGUACUCCCCAAAUGGCGUCUGUCCAUCCUGGGCCACACUACCUCAGCUUGCAUCCUACCAGUCUUGGGGAAGGAAAAGGGGUACAGACUAGUGUUACAGGAAUCUAAAGGUACCCAAUACACACAGCCUAAUAUUUGAGAACUGAGGGCUAUCUAAAUACCUGGAAGCACUUUCUUGGAAUGCUAAGACAGAGCAGCAAGAUUUUCUAGCCUCGGGGUCUGGGAGAGGGAAGGUAGGUUGGUUGGUUGGUUGGUUGGUUGGUUGGUUAUUACGUACUGGGAAUUAAUACUGAGAGUAUAUGCAAAGGCUGAGGGCACCAUGCCAUCUUCACAGAACAAGACCCUAACGGCUAACUGACAUACAAGAAACUGCAAGUUAUACUGUAAGAACACAUGUUAAGGACCGAGGAAAGUCUGCUAAGGUGCUACGUCUAAACUAAGUUAACUUCUCGUGUCCAAUCCUCCCUCAUCAGUCGUCAUCCAGGGCCUCUGUCUUGAUUUCGUUGGCUCCUUGUCGGGCCAAUGCCAAGAUAGUGUGGUUGACUGCUGCCAUUUCCACAGCUAAUGAGAUGGGGUCUUGGUGGUCACUAUGGCUAGUGCUGUCGUCCUAGAUGUGCAGAGAUAAGAAACAAAUGUUAUUAGUGCACUGGUAAAAUUCUCUAGCUCACAGAAAGGCAUGCUGCGGGCAAGGGGAGGCAGAACAUUCGUGGGAGAAAACAGAGUUGGGGGCGUCAUGAUAGAAUAGAGGUGAAAUGUAUUUAAGUAGACACUGAAUGGAUAUAGGUCCAGAGACUUCUGGUUGGCAUUUUUAUGAUUCAACAAAUAAAAAGCACUAAAAUGUUUUUUUCUUGCUGAGAAUUUUUUCCUUCUAUCAGAAAGAUUGCUGGGGAUGAUGAUCAAACCUGGACCAUUCCAAGUUUGCAACAAAUACAGCACUAGUUACUGAAGGCCAAACUAGUGAGCUUAAAUUCUGGAUUGGUGCUCUUACAAACAGAUUAUCAGAAUUCAUAGUAUCUCUCUACUCAACUGAGAAAACUAGACAAAAGUACAGACACCAACACCUUUCGGAUAAAAAUGCAUUUUUGUAAAAAACAAACCAAGCCCCCGCCCCCCCCAACCCCAAACUCUCAACUAGAACAGGACAAAAGUGUAACUGCUGGAAAUGGCUUCGUGAGAAAAUGUCGCCUGGCACUCUCCCACUGUAAGGGAGCCGGGCAAGGGAAGUGCAGGUGUCUUACUUGGAGGGAGUGUGAAGCUCGCCCUCCGCAAUGCCGAUGUGUUAAACAAUACAGCUGUGGCGGAAGCUGGCACUGCAGGAUGUUCGUCAGGCGCUGAAGAUGGUGUUUCACACAAGGGGUAAGUUUCUCACCUGUCACAUCUUCAGGGGAGCUCUGCAUCGAAAAGCUUUGGAAAAGGGUGAGUCCCUUUGGGCGAAAAAUAGCAUGGCAUGUGUUGCCCUUAGGGCAUCUGGGAGAAAAAGUGGAAGUGAUCCACCUACACUGGUAGACUAAAAACUAACAGAAAUGUUUCCACUUAGACUCACAGAACAUUCUCUUGAGUGAAACAUCGAGCGCUGACUUGGAGUCCUCAGGGGGAAAUUCUGUGCUCAUUCGCGCAGGCUGGCCUUUAGUUUAAGUAGGGAUCAGCAUGGAACUGCUGGUACCCUGGCAGUGUCUAUGCUCAAGCCGGUAAACAGGGGCUGCAAAGCGGUCGGCAGAAGGCCACAGUGGACUCUAUUAAAAGAGCUGGCCGAGGGGCAAGGUAAAGGUGUACAUCAAAUAGGAAGGAGCAGAUGUUUUCCUGCUGGGGCCUAGGAGAAGAGACCGUACAUUCUCUUCAUAUUCCAAAUGGAAUGAGUUUAAAAUCCUAUAAAAAAUGUAAUGAACUCUGUCAACAGAUAUGUGGGGGGAAAAUUCCCACAUUCUUAGUUACCGAAUUAUACCAUCCAGUGGCUACAAUUAAAUAUAUUUUCCCCCUAAGCAGUGAAGAGUAAGUCAGGGUGAGGUGGGCAGACAUGCAUUUAUGAGAGGGUGUGUGUGUCCAUGUGCCAGAGACUCUGGAGGAACCACUAUCUCGGCACGAGGGUUCCCACGGCAACGGGGCCAAAGUGGGUGGGCCCUUCUACUGUGUGCUGGUCCGAACGUGUCCAGGCAGGGUCACAGCUGCCCGCAGCCCCUAGUGUCUCUCGGACAGUGAGUGUGUGUGUGGUGGACGGUGGAACUUGCUUGUUUGGAUCAGAUCCUCCUCUCUUCUUCUACCUUCUCUGCUUCUCUGCCUCCCUCUGAACUUCUUCCCUCCUCCUCCUCCCCAUUGCGUACUUGCCAAGUAUCCUGUUAUAUGACAAUAAAUCCAUGUGGGUGAAUAACGAUUUCUCACAAAUUCACUUUCAAAUUACACGAAAAUCUAACUAGACACAGGAGCCGAGUGGAGGGACAUUCGCUUGCCUCCCCUCCCCCACCCCAUACAAAACGCACCCACGGAAUUGUCACACAGUCCCACCCACCCUGUAUCCGGCAGCCUCCCCUCCGCUGCUCACCUGCUCUGAGUAGUCAUUUCCGUCGACGUCAUCACUGUUGGAAUGGCCUCCGGGACUCUGUACAUCUAUCCCAUGACUCUCCAGGAUUGCUGCUUCUUCGAAAAAAGCAAAUAGAUCCCUAAAUUAUCUGUUACAUCGCCAUCAUGGUCUAAACACUGAAUUUGUAUUGAGGAAAUUAGAAUGUAAUUAAACAAAAACCUAGACUCCUCUCUAAGUUUUGUUUCUUUUAAAUUGCAGACAGAUGGAACUCGGCGGCACAGAGGUCAGGGGAGGAACACGUUUCCCAUUCUGGAGCCCCUGCUGCUAUGCGUGUACAUUUGAGUGGCUGACUGUUAGGUGCUUCAUAAAUACUUACCAACUAAUUAAACAGCUCUCCUGUCUUGGGGUUCUAUAAAGCACUUGAGAAUUGUAACGAUGAAGGGGAAGGAAGUACGUUUAUAAAUGAAACACAAUUUUAGAAGCUCAAAACCACCCCUCCACCCCAAUCUCAUCAAUUCAUGUUUCUUAAAUGCUCUCUCUUUAAAAAAAAAAAUAAAUAUCUCGCCUUUUACUAGGUUCCUUGUAUAUUAAGACUCUUUUAUUCCAAUUUUAUUAAUCACAUGUUUCUUAACAUCUAGGUCAUAUAGCUCAGUAGUAAUGAAGACGCUAAGGGUAUCACACUCCCUCUCUCAAGCCCUUACAAGUAACUUUAAUAUGCACCCCAGGAGUAACUGAUCAGAGACAUUCUAGAUUCUAGCAUAUUGAGAACAAUGAGUUUCAGAAAUAAUGCCAUUCUUAUUACAAUACAAAUAGUGUAAUUAAUAUUAACUUUGCAUUAUUAAAACUACAAUGAAGAAAAACGUAAGGGCAAGCAAGUCUCAUUAGGCUUAAGAGGUAGGAUCAUUUAGACCUGCAGCUCUAAACGGAAGUCACUCUUAAAAUAAACGCAACGUCCAUAAUUGCCUCAAAAGAGACAGCAGCCUCUCUGAUACAUUACCGAUAUUGGCUCUCCUCUUGAUCUCCUUCCGUCUGUUAGCAAACCAAUUAUAUACUUUCAGGGAGGUAACUCGUUCCAGAUCUGACAGUUUUUUGCCUGUGAAUGCAUGCAAUAAAAUUCAGAUAAUCUAUAUCUCAGACUAGUUUUAAGGGUUACUACUUUUCUUUUUAAAAAUGUUCUUUUGAUUGCAUUUCUUGCCAGAAUAACAGAUGUAGAAGUAAUAUUUUUUAGCAUGAGCUAGUACUAUGUACAGACUCAGUUACUGAAUGAAUAAACAUAUAAAUAAACAUACAAAUAGCAACUAAUAACACAAAAUGCUUGAAUUCAGAAAACCACACAAUAUUAGGGAAUUCCAAUAUUACUACAUUAAAGAAUUCGGUCCACUAGGGGUUCAAAGUUCACAUGAUUGUAUAUGAAGGCUUCAUUUGAUCAGCAUCAUUCUAGAUGAAUAUGUUAUUCUUUAUCAAGUUUCCAGAUAGCUGAAGUUUAUUUACAUCUUUAAGGCCUUAUAUUACCUAGUUUCCUGCUGUCUUAAGACAGAGAAUACUAUCCAUGUUUUCUUGAAGAUUAAGAUCACUAUGACCAGCCAUAACUGUAACUAUGCUGGAACACAUAGCACAAUUCAAACUGUAUUUUAAAUGUAUUAUCUUCUUUGCUGUCACAUGUGACGUUUUAUGGAUAGCACCAUGUUUACCAACAUGGCAACCACCUUGUACCUUUCCCUCCUCCCUUAUUCAGCUUUUAAUCCACACUGGGUGGAGAAACCAGAAAACAGGUUAGGCCCUUGAUGGUAAGGGGGUGAAGUAUUUUCCACGAAGAGUUUGAGUUCCAGCACACCUUUAGGGCUGGGACUUUUUGGCUUGUGUAAAAUAAGGGUACAGGUAUCAUUGUAGCUGAGCUUGUAUGUUUUAGAUUAUUAAAAGUCUGGCUUCUAACUAAGGGGGAGGAUAAAUUAGUAUUUAAUUAUUAUAAAACAGUUACAUUUUUGUGUUGAUAUAUAUAGCCUUUAAGCCAAUCCAAGUAACUGGCCAAAUGGAGAUCAACUGGAUCAUCUUAACUGAGAAUGGUUUCUGGUAAAAAAAAAAAAAAAAAACCCU